AAUAUUUUAAUAUAUAAGUAUAUUUAAUUUCCAAUUAAAAAGUUAAGA
Molecule: transfer RNA, 48 nt
Filed under: Peripatoides sp. DVL-2010
Lineage: Eukaryota; Metazoa; Onychophora; Udeonychophora; Euonychophora; Peripatopsidae
Description: tRNA-Gly
Source: RNAcentral